RNAcentral lists this non-coding RNA (154 nucleotides) under Vannielia litorea. RNAcentral's name for it is "Oceanicola litoreus Ruegeria cis2 sRNA". It matches the Rfam family "Ruegeria cis2 sRNA". From Rfam's summary of the family: Cis-encoded. Targets ABC transporter. Lineage: Bacteria; Pseudomonadati; Pseudomonadota; Alphaproteobacteria; Rhodobacterales; Paracoccaceae. The record is from Rfam by way of RNAcentral.
AUUGAACUGUAAUGAGGAUUAUAGUUGAUAAAGGCAAAUCCCCGGGCCUGGUCGAUGGUGUGAAACAGCGGAUUCCAGGAGAAGAAGGGCAGCAUGUAGGCCGGCAGGUUGUUGGCCAGGAACAUCUUGCCCGAGGCCACCAUGUUGGCCCGCG